RNAcentral lists this ribosomal RNA (718 nucleotides) under uncultured bacterium. RNAcentral's name for it is "bacterial SSU rRNA". It matches the Rfam family "Bacterial small subunit ribosomal RNA", at positions 74 to 824 of the family's 1533-position model. The record is from RNAcentral.
GUGGAGCAAUCCAUGAGUAAAGUGGCGCACGGGUGAGUAACACGUGACUAACCUACCCUUGAGUGGGGGAUAACUGAGGGAAACCUUAGCUAAUACCGCAUAAUACCUACGGGUCAAAGGAGCAAUUCGCUCGAGGAGGGGGUCGCGGCCGAUUAGUUAGUUGGCGGGGUAAUGGCCCACCAAGACUAUGAUCGGUAUCCGGCCUGAGAGGGCGCACGGACACACUGGAACUGAAACACGGUCCAGACUCCUACGGGAGGCAGCAGUGGGGAAUUUUGCGCAAUGGGGGAAACCCUGACGCAGCAACGCCGCGUGGAGGAUGAAGUCCUUCGGGACGUAAACUCCUUUCGAUCGGGACGAUUAUGACGGUACCGGAAGAAGAAGCCCCGGCUAACUUCGUGCCAGCAGCCGCGGUAAUACGAGGGGGGCGAGCGUUGUUCGGAAUUAUUGGGCGUAAAGGGUGCGUAGGCGGUUUGGUAAGUCUGAUGUGAAAUCUAUGGGCUCAACUCAUAGUCUGCAUCGGAAACUGCCGGGCUUGAGUAUGGGAGAGGUGAGUGGAAUUCCUGGUGUAGCGGUGAAAUGCGUAGAUAUCAGGAGGAACACCUGUGGCGAAAGCGGCUCACUGGACCAUAACUGACGCUGAUGCACGAAAGCUAGGGGAGCAAACAGGAUUAGAUACCCUGGUAGUCCUAGCCCUAAACGAUGACUGCUUGGUGUG